RNAcentral lists this ribosomal RNA (1224 nucleotides) under metagenome. Its description in RNAcentral is "SSU rRNA". It matches the Rfam family "Eukaryotic small subunit ribosomal RNA", at positions 558 to 1792 of the family's 1831-position model. The record is from RNAcentral.
AGUCUGGUGCCAGCAGCCGCGGUAAUUCCAGCUCCAAUAGCGAAUAUUAAAUUUGUUGCAGUUAAAAAGCUCGUAGUUGGAUCCAAGGUUAGGCAUGCCUGUCUGUUCUUAGUAGCAUGACUGUGUGUGUCUGCCUUUAUUAGUUGAAUGUUCAUUAUGGUGGUCUUCAUCGACUGCUAUGAUGUGCUCAACACGUUUACCUUGAAAAAAUCAGAGCGAUCAAGGCAGGCCUUCGUGCUUGUAUGUUGUUGCAAGGAAUAAUAGAAUAGGACUUCGGUUCUAUUUUGUUGGUUUUGAGAAUUGAAGUAAUGAACAAUAGAGACAGUUGGGGGCAUUUGUAUGGUGGCGUUAGAGGUGAAAUUCUGAGAUCGUCGCCAGACAAACUACUGCGAAAGCAUUUGCCAAGGAUGUCUUCAUUAAUCAAGAACGAAAGUCAGAGGUUCGAAGACGAUCAGAUACCGUCCUAGUUCUGACCAUAAACGAUGCCGACCUACAAUCGGGGGUGGUUUAUUAUAUUGACCCUCCCGGCUGUCCUCAGGAAACUUUAAGUUGGUUCUGGGGGGAAUAUGGUCUCAAGACUGAAACUUAAAGGAAUUGACGGAAGGGCACCACCAGGAGUGGAGCCUGCGGCUUAAUUUGACCCAACACGGGGAAUCUCACCCGGUCCGGACACUGGUAGGAUGGACAGAUUGAUAGCUCUUUCUUGAUUCAGUGGGUGGUGGUGCAUGGCCGUUCUUAGUUGGUGGAGUGAUUUGUCUGGUUAAUUCCGAUAACGAACGAGACUCUGUCCUGCUAAAUAGUCCAGUGGCAUCAAUCACUAUGUGAUUACAGCUGCUGUUACUUCUUAGAGGGAUUCGCGGAUUUAAACCGCAAGAAAUAGAGCAAUAACAGGUCUGUGAUGCCCUUAGAUGUCCGGGGCCGCACGCGCGCUACAUUGACAGUAGAAGCGAGUAUUUCUACCUGGUUCGAAAGAAUUGGGAAAUCUUCGAAUUACUGUCUCCACAGGGAUUGAGGUUUGCAAUUUUGCCUCAUGAACGAGGAAUUCCCAGUAGGCGCAAGUCAUCAGCUUGCGUCGAUUACGUCCCUGCCCUUUGUACACACCGCCCGUCGCUACUACCGAUUGAGUGCAUUAGUGAGGACCUCGGAUUGAGAACAUAGUGGCGCAAGUUACUUUGUUUUCGAAAAGUGAUUCAAAUUUGUGCAUUUAGAGAUAGUAAAAGUCGU